CCUACGGGAGGCAGCAGUGAGGAAUAUUGGUCAAUGGACGAGAGUCUGAACCAGCCAAGUAGCGUGAAGGAUGACUGCCCUAUGGGUUGUAAACUUCUUUUAUAUGGGAAUAAAAUGUUUCACGUGUGGGAUUUUGUAUGUACCAUAUGAAUAAGGAUCGGCUAACUCCGUGCCAGCAGCCGCGGUAAUACGGAGGAUCCGAGCGUUAUCCGGAUUUAUUGGGUUUAAAGGGAGCGUAGGUGGAUUGUUAAGUCAGUUGUGAAAGUUUGCGGCUCAACCGUAAAAUUGCAGUUGAAACUGGCAGUCUUGAGUACAGGAGAGGUGGGCGGAAUUCGUGGUGUAGCGGUGAAAUGCUUAGAUAUCACGAAGAACUCCGAUUGCGAAGGCAGUUCACUGGACUGCAACUGACACUGAGGCUCGAAAGUGUGGGUAUCAAACAGGAUUAGAUACCCCUGUAGUC
This 460-nucleotide ribosomal RNA is filed under the name uncultured bacterium. Its description in RNAcentral is "partial 16S ribosomal RNA". It matches the Rfam family "Bacterial small subunit ribosomal RNA", at positions 338 to 795 of the family's 1533-position model. The record is from RNAcentral.